This is a long non-coding RNA of Rosa chinensis, 504 nucleotides long. RefSeq lists it as uncharacterized. NCBI's taxonomy places the organism in Eukaryota, Viridiplantae, Streptophyta, Magnoliopsida, Rosales, Rosaceae. The transcript is spliced from 3 exons. The record is from RefSeq and is a predicted model, not a curated record.
UUUUUUUCUCUAUAUUUUGCAGGUAUCUUGAACAAACAACUAAUUUUUUUGGUUCCUGGGCAUCAGUAAUCCAAUUGCUCAAAUCAGAUGUGUUCUUAAAGAAGACAUUGAAGUUAAGCAACGAGGACAUCAUUGGCUCUGGAGAGUAUGGGACAAUUUAUAUACUUACACAGGAUGACAGCAUGGCCUUUGCUGUGAAAAGAUUGAACAGAGGAAGUGCAGAUAGAGAUCGAAGAUUUGAGAAGAAAAUUGAAGCAAUGGGAGAUAUAAAGCACCGGAACAUCGUGACUCUUAAUGGAUAUCACACUGCUCCACAUUAUAACCUUCUUAUAUACGAACUGGUAGCUUAUGAAGGCUUGGAUGGAGUGCUUCAUGUGCAAAUGAAAUGCUGAUUUGAAAGUAACUAGCAUUUGAAACAUCAGAAUUCCCAAGGAACACGAAUAAAAGUUGAGUUCUUAAAGUUUUCAAUUUCAUGGUUAUUAAUCAACAUGUUCACCAAUUCUU